GACGAACACUGGCGGCGUGCCUAAUACAUGCAAGUUGAGCGAUGAAGAUUGGUGCUUGCCCCAAUUUGAAGAGCAGCGAACGGGUGAGUAACGCGUGGGGAAUCUGCCUUUGAGCGGGGGACAACAUUUGGAAACGAAUGCUAAUACCGCAUAAUAACUUUAAACAUAAGUUUUAAGUUUGAAAGAUGCAAUUGCAUCACUCAAAGAUGAUCCCGCGUUGUAUUAGCUAGUUGGUGAGGUAAAGGCUCACCAAGGCGAUGAUACAUAGCCGACCUGAGAGGGUGAUCGGCCACAUUGGGACUGAGACACGGCCCAAACUCCUACGGGAGGCAGCAGUAGGGAAUCUUCGGCAAUGGACGAAAGUCUGACCGAGCAACGCCGCGUGAGUGAAGAAGGUUUUCGGAUCGUAAAACUCUGUUGGUAGAGAAGAACGUUGGUGAGAGUGGAAAGCUCAUCAAGUGACGGUAACUACCCAGAAAGGGACGGCUAACUACGUG
This 497-nucleotide ribosomal RNA is filed under the name uncultured bacterium. Its description in RNAcentral is "partial 16S ribosomal RNA". It matches the Rfam family "Bacterial small subunit ribosomal RNA", at positions 28 to 507 of the family's 1533-position model. The record is from RNAcentral.